GCCCCGUUGGCGGAAUAGGCAGACGCGGUCGGCUCAAACCCGGCUGCCCUCACGGGCGUCCCGGUUCGAGUCCGGGACGGGGCA
This 84-nucleotide transfer RNA is filed under the name Ruania alba. RNAcentral's name for it is "Haloactinobacterium album tRNA_Leu_CAA". It matches the Rfam family "tRNA". From Rfam's summary of the family: Transfer RNA (tRNA) molecules are approximately 80 nucleotides in length. Their secondary structure includes four short double-helical elements and three loops (D, anti-codon, and T loops). RNAcentral also lists the same sequence under 1 other name. The record is from RNAcentral. Lineage: Bacteria; Bacillati; Actinomycetota; Actinomycetes; Micrococcales; Ruaniaceae.